GACGGAAGGUGCAAGCGUUGCGCGGAAUCACUGGGCGUAAAGGGUGCGUAGGCGGCCGUGCAAGUCUGGCGUGAAAGCCCCGGGCUCAGCCCGGGAAGUGCGCUCGAAACUGCGCGGCUCGAGUGCCGGAGGGGAGAGUGGAAUUCCUGGUGUAGCGGUGAAAUGCGCAGAUAUCAGGAGGAACACCGGUGGCGAAGGCGGGUCUCUGGGCAACAACUGACGCUGAGGAGCGAAAGCGUGGGGAGCGAACAGG
Molecule: ribosomal RNA, 253 nt
Filed under: uncultured bacterium
Lineage: Bacteria
Description: partial 16S ribosomal RNA
Rfam family: Bacterial small subunit ribosomal RNA
Source: RNAcentral